RNAcentral lists this long non-coding RNA (389 nucleotides) under Elaeis guineensis (African oil palm). RNAcentral describes it as "long non-coding RNA (EGUI_LNC045850)". The record is from RNAcentral. Lineage: Eukaryota; Viridiplantae; Streptophyta; Magnoliopsida; Arecales; Arecaceae.
AGAUCUAAUGGUAUUCACUGCUUGCUCAAUUAAGUUCACAAAUGCAUCACCAUGCAAAUGAUAGAGACUGUCUCUAAGAACUAAAUCUAAAUGAUAAUCAUAAAUGAUAGAUACUCAUGGCCACAGCAGCAACUCUUGCCCUAUUGCUAAUUUUAAGGAUUACUUCCUCAGCCCUCUACCUUCCAUCGACUCUAUAAAAUGUACUGGAGUCUGAAACUCAACUCGAAGAAGAGAAAAUUAUAAGGAUAGUAUUGAGCAAUUUUGACAUGCCUACAGUAAGAGCAAUUACUUGGUUACCUAGCCAUUCGAAAUCUUACGAUGUAUGUUGGCUAUAGUAGAUCCAUUGUAGGAAUAGGAUAUGCACCUAGAUAGGAUUUGUAGAUCCUGAU